GCCAGGCACUGUGGUAAGCACCUGUAGUCCCAGCUCUUGAAAGGUUGCAGGGGGAGGAGUGCUUGAGUGCAGGAGUUCUGUGCUGUUGUGUGCUAUGCCGAUUGGUGUCCGAGCUAAUUUCGGCAUCAAUAUGAUGACCUCCUGGGAGGAGAGACCACCAAGUUGCCUAAAGAGGGGUGACUUGGCAGGUUGGAAAUGGAGCAGGUAAAAAAUCCUGUUCUGAUUGAUAGUGGGAUUGGGCCUAUAAAUAGCCACUGUACUCCAGCCUGGGCAACAUAGCAAGACUCUGUCUCU
RNAcentral lists this signal recognition particle RNA (294 nucleotides) under Prolemur simus (greater bamboo lemur). RNAcentral describes it as "Metazoan signal recognition particle RNA (ENSPSMG00000003900.1)". It matches the Rfam family "Metazoan signal recognition particle RNA". From Rfam's summary of the family: The signal recognition particle (SRP) is a universally conserved ribonucleoprotein. It is involved in the co-translational targeting of proteins to membranes. Lineage: Eukaryota; Metazoa; Chordata; Mammalia; Primates; Lemuridae. The record is from RNAcentral.